RNAcentral lists this ribosomal RNA (460 nucleotides) under uncultured bacterium. RNAcentral's name for it is "partial 16S ribosomal RNA". It matches the Rfam family "Bacterial small subunit ribosomal RNA", at positions 338 to 795 of the family's 1533-position model. The record is from RNAcentral.
CCUACGGGCGGCAGCAGUGAGGAAUAUUGGUCAAUGGCCGGAAGGCUGAACCAGCCAUGCCGCGUGAAGGUCAGUGCCCUAUGGGCGUUAAACUUCUUUUGUGCGGGAGCAAUAAUGGUCACGUGUGGCCAGACGAGAGUACCGUACGAAUAAGCAUCGGCUAACUCCGUGCCAGCAGCCGCGGUAAUACGGGGGAUGCAAGCGUUAUCCGGAUGUAUUGGGUUUAAAGGGUGCGUAGGCUGUGAGGUAAGUCAGCGGGGAAAUGCCCCGGCUCAACGGGGUGAAGUGACAUUGAUACUGCCUUGCUGGAAUGCGGAUGCCGUGGGAGGAAUGUGUGGUGUAGCGGUGAAAUGCAUAGAUAUCACACAGAACACCGAUUGCGAAGGCAUCUCACGAAUCCGCGAUUGACGCUGAUGCACGAAAGCGUGGGUAUCAAACAGGAUUAGAUACCCUUGUAGUC